Molecule: transfer RNA, 61 nt
Filed under: Cavia porcellus (domestic guinea pig)
Lineage: Eukaryota; Metazoa; Chordata; Mammalia; Rodentia; Caviidae
Rfam family: tRNA
About the family: Transfer RNA (tRNA) molecules are approximately 80 nucleotides in length. Their secondary structure includes four short double-helical elements and three loops (D, anti-codon, and T loops). Further hydrogen bonds mediate the characteristic L-shaped molecular structure. tRNAs have two regions of fundamental functional importance: the anti-codon, which is responsible for specific mRNA codon recognition, and the 3' end, to which the tRNAs corresponding amino acid is attached (by aminoacyl-tRNA synthetases). tRNAs cope with the degeneracy of the genetic code in two manners: having more than one tRNA (with a specific anti-codon) for a particular amino acid; and 'wobble' base-pairing, i.e. permitting non-standard base-pairing at the 3rd anti-codon position.
Source: Rfam by way of RNAcentral
UGUGGCUCAGUGGUACAGUACAUACUUAGCAUGUAUGAGGCCCUGGGUUUGAUCCCCAGCA